Long non-coding RNA from Fundulus heteroclitus (mummichog), 3123 nucleotides. RefSeq lists it as uncharacterized. The record is from RefSeq and is a predicted model, not a curated record. The transcript is spliced from 2 exons. NCBI's taxonomy places the organism in Eukaryota, Metazoa, Chordata, Actinopteri, Cyprinodontiformes, Fundulidae.
UGGCAUCAGGUUUCGGUUUCUAACAGUCAGACUCAUAAAGGUUAUCUGGACUAGAAGACAGAACUUUUCCUCAGCUACAAUCGCAACAUUAUAUUAAAUCUAUAGAAACGGCAGGAACAUUCCUUAAUAUACAAAUAAAUCGCCCAUGAACACAAAAAGGUAUCACUGAAAUAUACACAUCUUUUUCCGUGUGGUCCAAACUAAACCUUAAUAGUCAAACACGACCUCACUGACCUUGAGCGUCACAUGAUUUCAUCAUGUCAGUGAAUACAGGAUGCCCACAGCUGACUGGCUGCUCACAAAUAAAAAGAUAAAAAAAGUAUCUUUAUAUUUCACCUUUAUGACUAAAUACCCUCUGAUGGUGCAAACCACACACCGUUACCACUGUUGCCAUGCAGAGAUAUCACACCACUGAUUAUUUUACAAAAAUAGUGCAUUAAAGUCUGACUGAUGAUACAAAAGCUUCAUACAAAAUGCACACAGCUGUUCACUCUUAAAAAUGGCACAAAAUACAGAGACCGGAAAUACUUAUUUGAGAAGAUAAACAUCAAAACUGCAUAUUUGUUGCAACCCUUUCACUUCAACUCUGUUAACAUGCAAAGGUCAUCCAUGAUACCAGAUUUAAUUAAAUCCCUGUCUGAGUUGUAGUAAAAUUUUGACUUUCCCAAAAAAAAAAAAGAAAAAGGCAGGGCUGCAAAUGCUAACAAACUGCUAAGAAACCUUCCUUGUUGCACAUUUAGCUGAUCAAUCAGAAACUGUUUCACCAGAAAAAUAUCAAACCUUCUCACCGACGUCCUUCAAUAUGAGUUCAACAUAACGUCAAUCUGCAGCAGAAAUCUUGAGCUGCAUAAGGAAGUUAUAGGAGUUGACAGUCCAGCAUCGUGUAAGCAGUGAUAUCAAGUGGCACAAAGUGAAAACUACAGUCAUCCAUGCAGAUCGAAAUGUCUGCGGAGUUAAAGAAGGAGUUCGACAGUUUGCUUCAUUUCGGUCGAAGACCAGAGCCGCAUCAAAUCCGAUGUUAAAAGCUUUCACAUAACCCCCACAUCACAGUUAGGCACAGAGGGCAAAAAAAUAUCUAUAUUUAAAGUUUCCCAGGCACAAUGAGAAAAUCACAGAGGUAACAUUUAACCACCAGAUGGCAGCAAACACUGUGAUGAUUCUGAGAUGCAUGCGAGAAGACCAAUGGUUUUCAUUUCUUGUUUUAAUACCUGAUCAGUGGAACGUUUCAGGCUUAACUGUUGUCAGUGUGAUCCUAUUUAUACAUUUAUACAGCUGUUUACUCCCCCAGUAGCAGACAAUCAGGAAGGAAACUCCCAACCAGUCUGGAAUGAAGGCGGUAAAACGCCUUCAGGGGCCAGGAAAGCAUUAUGGAUGUUAGUAUGAGCUGCUGACUGGGAGAUUGCAUUGACUCGAUGAUUUUUCUCUCGGAGCUCCAUGAAUUUCCAGUUCUCAGCCGGAGAUUAUGCCUUCAUUCAGGGAUUUUCUGCACAGGAGCUGUACCAGAGCGUCAGUGGAAUUCUGCUGACUUUAGAACCAGCAGGAUUUAAAUCAUUGAUCGUUAUCAUCAAGGAAAUCCUUCAAUGGUUAGAUCUGCACUGACCAUGCACAACCCCCCAAACAAUCACCUGAUGAGGAACGAAUACAUGGAAGUGCCUGUGGAUGUUGGAAGUACUGAUGAAUGACGCCAAAUAUCUGUUUCAUGCUGCAGCUCAAAGAUUCGCAGCAUACAGACAGAGAUAGAAUGAAGUUUUAAAUCAUAACUAUUGAAGUCAUUGUCAACGUUUUUAAGUUUUUAGGAAGUUGGGCAAAAGGGAGUCAUGAGUCAUGACUAAAGGCAUCAAGGUGGCUGUAAGGAAGUCAUUCCUGCCACUGGGCUGUUGUAUAUACCUUGACUCUCAGUCAGAGAGCUGAAUCUAACCUCGCUGGGGAAAACGCUUCAGAAAGUUCUUCCUACAAAGCGGAGAGUGCCAGAUUAACAUUCUCCUGUUUCGUCUGUCCUUGAACAGAUUAACUGCUGUUGUCAAAUUGGCUAUAUUUCAGUGUUUCAUUGAUGAUUAGGUCUUCAGUUAUGUUUUAUCAAUAUGUAACAUAGGCUCUCAGCCUUUGGGCAGUGUUGGACUUUGGAGGUUAAUAAGGCUGCAGUUUUCAGACUUCUUGGAGAAAAAUGUUGCGAUGCUCUAAAACAAGGGGUCGCCAACCUUUUUGAAACAGAGAGCUACUUCAUUGGUAUUGUGUCAUACGAAGAGCUGACCUUUAACUUCUCUGAUCUCAGUCCAUCUACCACUGUAUGAUGAUUUAGAAACUGCUGGAAGGUUAGCAGUUUCUAAUGAUCAUAUUUAAAAUGUUUGUUUUUUCCUUUCUUGUGAUUCUGACCCAAAGUCAGAUCUGAUUAUCAGUUUUUUUUCCAUAUCAAAACACAUUUAACUUCAUGUUUAAAGUUUUUAAAAAUGUAUUCUUUAUCCCCUUUUUUGUGAGACGCCUGCCUUGUAUCUCUUCGGGAAAUACCGAUGCAAAAAGUACGUAAAUACAUGUUUCUUUGGGGCUUUUUAAUCACAACUUUUCAUAUUUUCAGUCUGUUAGAAACUUAAAGUUCAGAAAAAAUUGUUUAAAUUAAUAAUUUUUAAAAUGUAAUAAAUCAAUUAAAUUUGAAAUAAUGACAUUUAAUAAUAGGAAAAUAAAUAUUACAAUAAUACUAAACUUUUUGUAUAUAAGAAGUGUAUUUUAAAACUUAUUUAUUUAUUAAAGAUGAUAAGUUAAAUAAAUUAUACUUCCUAGGACAAAUAGGUUAAAAAGUUUCAUUGGUGAGAGAGAAAAAAACAAUAAUAAAAGUCGAGAUGUAUUGUGAGUAACAUCUGAGAGCGUUUUGACCUCUUCGAGAUGUGUCCUCAUUUCCAUUACAUUUCAUUGGAAGCCGAUUAUUAUUUAGGUUCUGGCAGCUUUCUGAGGGGAUUUUUAGCAGCAGAUGGAAAUACUGAAAAUGGCACGUUAUAAACCGCAAACUGAAGAAUGGCAACAUUUGCGGCUGGAUCAGUUUGUUUCUUGCAAAAAUAUUUGGGACAGAAUGUCUUGCAGCGAAAAAGAGCUGAUGGAAGAAGUUCCUCAAAGUUCCUCUGCAGCCAAACA